RNAcentral lists this long non-coding RNA (408 nucleotides) under Theobroma cacao (cacao). RNAcentral's name for it is "long non-coding RNA (TCAC_LNC005359)". Lineage: Eukaryota; Viridiplantae; Streptophyta; Magnoliopsida; Malvales; Malvaceae. The record is from RNAcentral.
CACCACCCUCAUUUUCACCCAUUUCAGGCUCAGAAUAGGCUGUAGAUAGCUAAUUUCAUCGAGGCUACCAUUGGAUUUGCAUCCUCCAAACUAUAGGUUCACAGUCUUCCUUACUUUUAGUUAUUCGGGGGCCCACUGGUUAUUGUAAAUUAAAUUAAAUACUCUAGCUAACUGUAUUACAAUAUGUAUGAAUUUAUUUUGCUUUUACGCUGCUACAAAAAUUUGUUUAUGUAUAACUCUAAAAAUAUUGUUUUAUAAGAAAAUAAAAUAUUUUAUUGAAUAUUUCUUUUAUUUUUUUAUUAUAUCCAAAUAAUCAUAAUUUCAUUUUAAAUGAAGGUUUUAGAUGUUUAAACUUAUUUUUGAUUAUGAAUUAUGUGUUUUGUACUCGCAUACUACAUUUUUAGUGGA